RNAcentral lists this ribosomal RNA (468 nucleotides) under uncultured bacterium. RNAcentral's name for it is "partial 16S ribosomal RNA". It matches the Rfam family "Bacterial small subunit ribosomal RNA", at positions 28 to 507 of the family's 1533-position model. The record is from RNAcentral.
GACGAACGCUGGCGGCGUGCUUAACACAUGCAAGUCGAACGGAAAGGCCCUGCUUUUGUGGGGUGCUCGAGUGGCGAACGGGUGAGUAACACGUGAGUAACCUGCACUUGACUUUGGGAUAACUUCAGGAAACUGGGGCUCAUACCGGAUAGGAGCUCCUGCUGCAUGGUGGGGGUUGGUAAGUUUCGGCGGUUGGGGAUGGACUCGCGGCUUAUCAGCUUGUUGGUGUGGUAGUGGCUUACCAAGUCUUUGACGGGUAGCCGGCCUGGGAGGGUGACCGGCCACCUUACGCCUGAGGUACGGACCAGACUCGAACGGGAGGCAGCGGUGGAGAGUAUUGCACAGUGGGCGGAAGCCAGAUGUGACAACGCCGCGUGCGGGAUGACGGGCUUCGGGUUGUAAACCGCUUUCGCCUGUGACGAAGCGUGAGUGACGGUACUGGGUAAAGAAGCACCGGCUAACUACGUG